AUUGAACGCUGGCGGCAUGCUUUACACAUGCAAGUCGAACGGUAACAGGCCGCAAGGUGCUGACGAGUGGCGAACGGGUGAGUAAUGCAUCGGAACGUGCCCAGUCGUGGGGGAUAACGCAGCGAAAGUUGCGCUAAUACCGCAUACGAUCUAUGGAUGAAAGCGGGGGACCGUAAGGCCUCGCGCGAUUGGAGCGGCCGAUGUCAGAUUAGGUAGUUGGGGGGGUAAAGGCUCACCAAGCCGACGAUCUGUAGCUGGUCUGAGAGGACGACCGGCCCCACUGGGACUGAGACACGGCCCAGACUCCUACGGGAGGCAGCAGUGGGGAAUUUUGGACAAUGGGCGCAAGCCUGAUCCAGCAAUGCCGCGUGCAGGAAGAAGGCCUUCGGGUUGUAAACUGCUUUUGUACGGAACGAAACGGUCCUGGUUAAUACCCGGGGCUAAUGACGGUACCGUAAGAAUAAGCACCGGCUAACUACGUGCCAGCCGCCGCAGUAA
This 498-nucleotide ribosomal RNA is filed under the name uncultured bacterium. RNAcentral describes it as "partial 16S ribosomal RNA". It matches the Rfam family "Bacterial small subunit ribosomal RNA", at positions 29 to 523 of the family's 1533-position model. The record is from RNAcentral.